AAAUUUAAAUAAAGCAUCCUUCUUCUUGGAUGCUGAAAAACAACUUAUUUUUUUCUAAGAAAUUAUACCAGUAUAAUUACAUUCAUAUAAUUGUGUUAGUAAAAUUAUGCAAAAUUUCUCAGUAUGGGCACUUGCAAAGCACUGAAUUUUGAUGCUGCUUGAAGUUUAUUUCUGAACAGUGUUUAUUCUUUUGUAUUAAGCCCUUCUUUGAAACCAAAUACAAGAACAGCAUCUUAAAGGAACUGAAACCUUUGUUAUCUUUUCUGCUAGUCAUUCAUUUUCUCUCUAUUAAAAUGAUAGGGGGGAAAGAAUCUGUUAUCAAUCAGCAGUUUAAAAUAAUUUUAAAAUUGUAUCAAAUGCAAGGACUCCUCUUAUUUUCAUCCUUGGAGUCCAGAAGCAAAAUGGAGCCUUAUUAAUGAAUUGACAGUUCAGAAUUCUUGUAACUUAUCAUUUUAUUUUUACCAAGUUUAUUUUAAUUUAUUUUUAGUUUCUAACAGCAGUGUGGCUGAUUUAUAAAGGUGAAGUUUUAGAAAUGUCAGAGGUCUGAAGGAAGUGUUUUUUACUUUUUUUCUUGAUGGACAGUUUCGCAUAUUGCAGGGCUUAGAUAGUCUAUUAAGUGACUGAAGAGAGCACAGAAGCAAGCAUUAUCAUCUAAACAGUCUGAACCCAAAGCCAUUUUAAUGCCAAAUUUAAUUGCGAAGGUAAGUUUUCAGGUGAGCAAGUGAUUAUAGAAGGCCGAUGUGUUUUGUGAUCAAUGGGGAUGGAGUCUGCAAGCACAAGAUGGUUUCAAGAAGCAAAGAACGGCCUAUUCAGCAAACAGUCAUUGAUGAAAAGUGAGGUUACUUUUAAUUUCUCAUACCAUAAGUAUUUCAUGUAUUUUUCAUCCUUAAUGGCAUUCUGGCUUGUUAUAGGAAUUAAGCACUGUGAGUUAAAAUAACAAAUCUGCACUAUGCUUUGCUGGGUUUUAAAUCAAAAUGGCAUUCUUCUUUCGUGAGCCCAUAAUCCUUUCUUUUAUAUAGUUUGAUGCUAGCCAGCUCUUGCUUCCUGAGGCAGAACCAUUAGAUAUCAAAAAUAUAAUUGCUCUCUAUAUGAGUGUUCCUUUGUAGCCCAUCCCUUUCAUGUUUUGAGGUUGCAGCACUUUUAUUUCUUUAAAAAUAUUCUAUUAACUUCUUCUGAAUUGCGUAUCCCAGCCUCCAUAGGUAACAGGUCAGUGUGUUGUUGGGAUACAGUGAAGAAGUGGGGCUUCUGUGUUAGGAUUUACUUUCUGGUGUGGCAGUUCGGCUGGAAAUUGUGAGAUUCACAGACAGACGAGUGUAAUUAUCCCAUCAAUGCCAGUUGGGAGUUAAUUAAUCUAUAACCUGGCAUCCAAAGUAGAAACUGUUUGGGGUGAGGAAGAGAAUCAUAAUGGCCUAUCUUACACUUGCUAGAGUGUUGGAGAUUUGGAAUACAGAUGUUGUAACAUAUACAUCAUUUUCUUUAAUGUAUUACAGGAGUAUUGCUAUACCUCAUUCCACAUCUAAAUAUAUGAGGGGGUGUUAUUUGUAUGGACAGGUGUUUUAAAACCCCAGGGUGUAUUUUUCUUGCUCUUCUUUCCAUUCUGUGUCUGUAAUUAAGAGCACUGCCAAGAACUGCACUGUGUGCUCCCCUGCCAGUGCCGUCCCCUGGGAGCCGCAGUGCCGCUCGGCGUGGAGAGGGAAGGAUUUAAGGAAUUCAUACGGCCUGUUCCCGAGAUCAACAACUGCCACUCUCUUCCCGAAGGUUAGAAUUAUAAAAGCCCAAAUACACAGACAUUUCCUUUAAUAAUACAGACCUGUUUUCUCUAGUCUGCCAGAAUUCAGAGCGUCUGGUGGUUUCCAUGGAGAGGUAUAUUUCUUACAAGGCCCAGCUAUUUUUGCAGACUAUUUUGCAGUGUAUUUGAACUUGCAGUCUUGUGUGCCAUUUCUCUUCUCCUCCCCUAGCAGUGCAGUGAAAUGCUGCCAAAUUCCCAUUAAGCACUGGCAAAGAGCAGGCUGAGGGCCCAGGCCGUGUCCCUGCCAUCCGGAGAGCAGUCUGUGUGCUGUCCCAGCCCUGGUGUCCUGGAGGUGGCAGAGAUGGGGCUGCCCCUGCUCUGCAACACCAGGAGGAUGCAAUGAUGUGCUGCUCAAGAAAAGGCAAUUUCAUUGUUGCUGUAUCAUCUAAUGACUUGGUCAGAGUUGUACGUGGACUGAAUGUCAGCUGCUUUUCUUAACUGACAGCCAAGCUUUCUCUGAUUGUGUAAUGAUAUAUAAAGUUUUGUCUCACAAACACAGUUUGUUCCAUAAUUGUCUCAUUAGAACUUAAACUGCACUCCUAGUGCACAGCUCCUCCAUUGCUUUCUUGUCAUGGCUACGAGAAGGGAAACCUCAGAAAGAUGUGACUA
Long non-coding RNA from Meleagris gallopavo (turkey), 2398 nucleotides. The record is from Ensembl. Lineage: Eukaryota; Metazoa; Chordata; Aves; Galliformes; Phasianidae.